Molecule: long non-coding RNA, 207 nt
Filed under: Elaeis guineensis (African oil palm)
Lineage: Eukaryota; Viridiplantae; Streptophyta; Magnoliopsida; Arecales; Arecaceae
Description: long non-coding RNA (EGUI_LNC002291)
Source: RNAcentral
UCCUUCCCCUAAAAGAGGUGGUGAGAUCCUGUUUCACCUGCUUUCUCUUGGUUUUUUUCCUUCUCUUUCUCUACACACUCUCUCUCUCUCUCACUCUCUCGUUUGGGUGGAACCUAGAGAGUCUCUUCUCACCGACUUUGAUCCGGCCUUGAUAGAGGGGUCUUGAACCAUUCUAGUAGCCACACAACAUGUUGUCCCCCCAGCCCU